UACGUAGGGACCAAGCGUUGUUCGGAUUUACUGGGCGUAAAGGGCGCGUAGGCGGCAUUGUUAGUCACUCGUGAAAUCUCCGGGCUUAACUCGGAACGGCCAAGUGAUACUGCAGUGCUAGAGUGCGGAAGGGGCAAUCGGAAUUCUUGGUGUAGCGGUGAAAUGCGUAGAUAUCAAGAGGAACACCUGAGGUGAAGACGGGUUGCUGGGCCGACACUGACGCUGAGGCGCGAAAGCCAGGGGAGCAAACGGG
RNAcentral lists this ribosomal RNA (253 nucleotides) under uncultured bacterium. RNAcentral's name for it is "partial 16S ribosomal RNA". It matches the Rfam family "Bacterial small subunit ribosomal RNA", at positions 524 to 776 of the family's 1533-position model. The record is from RNAcentral.